Molecule: long non-coding RNA, 806 nt
Filed under: Aotus nancymaae (Ma's night monkey)
Lineage: Eukaryota; Metazoa; Chordata; Mammalia; Primates; Aotidae
Description: lncRNA (ENSANAG00000038570.1)
Source: RNAcentral
UUUUUCUUGAGACCUGGUCUGGCUCUGUGGCUCAGGCUCGAGUGCAAGUGGCGUGAUUACCGCUUAUUGCAGCCUCAGCCUCCUCUAGCCUUAGCCUCUCCGGUACCUGGGACCACGAGCUGGCGCCACCACCUCCGUCUACGUUUUUUGUAUUUUUAGCAGAGACUGGGAUCUUGCCAUGUUGGCUAGGCUGCUCUUGAACUCCUGAGAUCAAGCGAUCCGCCCGCCUCGGCCUCCCAAAGUGCCGGGACUGCAGGCAUGAGCCAUUGUGCCGGGCGCUCAGCCUCUUUUGGCGCCUACUUUCGCCUUUCCGGGGCCAGGCAUGUGCAGCGUGUUGGAGAAGGGUCCCGCCCUCUACGGGAAGUCCUCGCUGCCAAGGUCACAGGCGCGGAGAACAGGAGAACCGAGCAUGAAAAUACACAUGAACUCUUAAGAAAAAACAUUUCUAGCAAUCAGCAAAUACUAAGAACUUAUUGAGCUCUGUGCCUGAUGAUAUAGAAGGAAGUCUGAAAUUUUGAGAAGCGAGCACCGUCCCCCGACAUCGUGACUACUACCGCAUCACUAAGCUGCGUUGUUUUCCGGGAGAAGCACUGCGCCACGAGCUCACUUGCCUUUCCAGGCCUGCCACGCAGGCGUCCUCCGCUGUCUUUUGUCAGCUUUCGGGUCUGCGCUUGCAGAGAAACGCGCCCCCUCCCGGCUGGAGGACGCAGCUCCGGGCGGGGAGAAGUUAGUGUUCCGUUGCGGAGCCUGACGGGAAACCGCCCCGACAGGUCUUUGGCGCGCGGCGCACUAGCGGCAGCGACGGG